GAUUAGAUGGCCGAGCUGUAGGCGAUAGAUUGUAAAUCUAUUAACGAGGUCACCUCUCUAAUCA
RNAcentral lists this transfer RNA (64 nucleotides) under Tenebrionoidea sp. 18 KM-2017. RNAcentral describes it as "tRNA-Tyr". It matches the Rfam family "tRNA". Rfam says of the family: Transfer RNA (tRNA) molecules are approximately 80 nucleotides in length. Lineage: Eukaryota; Metazoa; Arthropoda; Insecta; Coleoptera. The record is from RNAcentral.